UUCAGUUUGGCAGAAAAAAUGCAAUAAAUUUAGAAUUUAUUUAUGAUUUUUAUUAAAAUCAACUGAAA
This 68-nucleotide transfer RNA is filed under the name Amblyomma mixtum. Its description in RNAcentral is "tRNA-Leu". The record is from RNAcentral. Lineage: Eukaryota; Metazoa; Arthropoda; Arachnida; Ixodida; Ixodidae.